UAUGUGAUCGUCUCUCGCAUAUCAAUAAGCGGAGGAAAAGAAACUAACAAGGAUUCCCCUAGUAACGGCGAGUGAAGCGGGAAGAGCUCAAAUUUGAAAUCUUAAAGGGUUUCCCUUUACGAAUUGUAGUUUAAAGAAGUGUUUUCUGUUGAGGUUUUGGUAAAAGUUCUUUGGAAUAGGACAUCAUAGAGGGUGAGAAUCCCGUAUUUGACCUUUACUUUCAACUUUGUGAUACACUUUCAAAGAGUCGGAUUGUUUGGGAAUGCAGUCCAAAAUGGGUGGUAAAUUUCAUCUAAAGCUAAAUAUUGGCGAGAGACCGAUAGCGAACAAGUACCGUGAGGGAAAGAUGAAAAGAACUUUGAAAAGAGAGUUAAACAGUACGUGAAAUUGUCGAAAGGGAAGCGUUUGACACCAGUGUUGUUUUUCUGAAAAUCAAUUAAAGAACUGUUUAUGCUAAGUUGUUUAGACUUUAUCAGCUAACUGUUUAGUUUUGAGCUUUUCUUUAAUGCACUUUUCAGUUAACAAGUCAACAUCAAUUUCUUUUGCUGUAAAAAAGCAUUGAGGAAGGUGGCUUGAGAUUCGUCUUAAGUGUUUAUAGCCUCUUGCCUAUGCAGUCGGAGAGAUUGAGGUCUGCAGCGUAGAUCCUUCGGGGCUAAAUGCAUUUGUGCUAAGUUAUAGCAUUUUAUAGACAACUUGUUGACUAUGAUUUGUCUUGUAGCUUACUCGCUUAUGUUAUUUUACCUACGCUUAGGAUGUUGACACACGCGCGUGCUCG
This 775-nucleotide ribosomal RNA is filed under the name uncultured Neocallimastigales. RNAcentral describes it as "partial large subunit ribosomal RNA". It matches the Rfam family "Eukaryotic large subunit ribosomal RNA", at positions 24 to 643 of the family's 3401-position model. The record is from RNAcentral. Lineage: Eukaryota; Fungi; Neocallimastigomycota; Neocallimastigomycetes; Neocallimastigales.